ACGCGGGAGAUCCAAUAAAUUUUCGUAUUUUUGUGCCUCUUUUCCCCAGUUUUUUUCUCCAAUUCUCUUCACUUUUUCAAUUUUGGUUAUUCCUUGGCAGUUUUGCUUCACUCUUAAUUGAUAUUUCAUCGAAAUCACUCCAAAUACUCAUGAAAAACAUGUAAUUACAAAGUGUCAUCACAACCGUAAACUUAAUAUGUUGCUUGUCCUCAAAUAGUUUGCCUACAAUUGCAUAUUUCAACAGAAAAAAUGCUACUAUAACCAAU
RNAcentral lists this long non-coding RNA (266 nucleotides) under Lathyrus oleraceus (garden pea). RNAcentral's name for it is "Pisum sativum (pea) long non-coding RNA (PSAT_LNC012617)". Lineage: Eukaryota; Viridiplantae; Streptophyta; Magnoliopsida; Fabales; Fabaceae. The record is from RNAcentral.